AUUGAACGCUGGCGGAAUGCUUUACACAUGCAAGUCGAACGGGCUGUUCCUUCGGGGGCAGUCAGUGGCGCACGGGUGCGUAACACGUAGGUAAUCAACCCUCUGGUUGGGGAUAACACUUCGAAAGGAGUGCUAAUACCCGGUAUGGCGCAGCGGUCUUCGGAUCGCGGCGAGAAAGACCCGCAAGGGUUGCCAGAGGACGAGCCUGCGGCCCAUCAGCUAGUUGGCGAGGUAACGGCUCACCAAGGCGAAGACGGGUAGCUGGUCUGAGAGGAUGAUCAGCCACACUGGAACUGAGACACGGUCCAGACUCCUACGGGAGGCAGCAGUGGGGAAUAUUGCGCAAUGGGCGAAAGCCUGACGCAGCCACGCCGCGUGAGCGAUGAAGGCCUCGGUCGGUAAG
This 403-nucleotide ribosomal RNA is filed under the name uncultured bacterium. RNAcentral describes it as "bacterial SSU rRNA". It matches the Rfam family "Bacterial small subunit ribosomal RNA", at positions 29 to 430 of the family's 1533-position model. The record is from RNAcentral.